AUUGUGGUUAGGUGGCUAGUGGAUAUGGGACCACUAGUUGUAAUUAUUAUUAUUUAUUAUUUAAAAAAAAACGGGUCAUGUCGUUUCAACAUCACGGAAGGUAAAAGAACUUGCUCCAUAUUUAAAAAUUUUGGGUAAAAAACCAAUGAUCACAAACCUGUGUGUUUCUGAGGUUGUGAAGGGUCUGGGAAAGACCUUGGUUGGUGCAUAUCCAGGACGAGCAAUGAGCUUCAUCACCAAAAAAACGAACCUAGAGUCUACAACUGUGAUCAGCUACCCAAGUAAGAAGAUAGCUGUGUAUUUUAAAACCUCAAUCAUAUUCCGGUCAGACUAAAACAAUGCGGAUCUCGAGGGAAACGCAGGGGCUGGACUUUUACAAUAAUGGACAAAGCCUUUCAAAUGCGGCUGUUCUCAACAAUUGCAGAAGCUGUAAAUGGUGAUAGAGACGCUCUAUGGUUCUCCUCAAGAUAUCGUCCAAGCUAGACCCCAAGUUUAAAGCUCUCUCUUGCUAUUUCUGUGUCCCAUUCCCUAAGUUUUCAAACAAAUCUUAUAAUCACUCCUGAUAGAAACAUUGACUCAUAUUAAACGAUUGUGUGGGGGUUGUAUAAUUUAAUCUUUAAAACGGCAUCGUAUAAAAGAGGACAUUAAACGUACCCGUACAAACAUAUAUAUUUUUUAAAAAACUAAAAAAAUGAAUUUUAGUAUUUAUUCUU
RNA transcript from Camelina sativa (false flax), 713 nucleotides. RefSeq lists it as uncharacterized. NCBI's taxonomy places the organism in Eukaryota, Viridiplantae, Streptophyta, Magnoliopsida, Brassicales, Brassicaceae. The record is from RefSeq and is a predicted model, not a curated record.